UCGGGAAUAUUGCGCAAUGGAGGAAACUCUGACGCAGUGACGCCGCGUAUAGGAAGAAGGUUUUCGGAUUGUAAACUAUUGUCGUUAGGGAAGAGAAAGGACAGUACCUAAGGAGGAAGCUCCGGCUAACUACGUGCCAGCAGCCGCGGUAAUACGUAGGGAGCGAGCGUUAUCCGGAUUUAUUGGGUGUAAAGGGUGCGUAGACGGGUAAUCAAGUUAGUUGUGAAAUCCCUCGGCUCAACUGAGGAACUGCAACUAAAACUGGUUGUCUUGAGUGCAGGAGAGGUAAGUGGAAUUCCUAGUGUAGCGGUGAAAUGCGUAGAUAUUAGGAGGAACACCAGUGGCGAAGGCGACUUACUGGACUGUAACUGACGUUGAGGCACGAAAGUGUGGGGAGCAAACA
RNAcentral lists this ribosomal RNA (403 nucleotides) under uncultured bacterium. RNAcentral's name for it is "bacterial SSU rRNA". It matches the Rfam family "Bacterial small subunit ribosomal RNA", at positions 355 to 774 of the family's 1533-position model. The record is from RNAcentral.